This 73-nucleotide transfer RNA is filed under the name Minisyncoccota bacterium. Its description in RNAcentral is "tRNA-Val". It matches the Rfam family "tRNA". Rfam says of the family: Transfer RNA (tRNA) molecules are approximately 80 nucleotides in length. The record is from RNAcentral. Lineage: Bacteria; Bacillati; Minisyncoccota.
GGGCGAUUAGCUCAGUUGGUAGAGCAACAUGUUUACACCAUGAAGGUCACAGGUUCGAGUCCUGUAUCGCCCA